RNAcentral lists this ribosomal RNA (253 nucleotides) under uncultured bacterium. RNAcentral describes it as "partial 16S ribosomal RNA". It matches the Rfam family "Bacterial small subunit ribosomal RNA", at positions 524 to 776 of the family's 1533-position model. The record is from RNAcentral.
UACGUAGGUGACAAGCGUUGUCCGGAUUUACUGGGCGUAAAGAGCGCGCAGGCGGUCGUUCAAGUCGAGUGUGAAAGCCCCCGGCUCAACUGGGGAGGGUCACUCGAUACUGAUCGACUCGAAGGCAGGAGAGGGAAGUGGAAUUCCCGGUGUAGUGGUGAAAUGCGUAGAUAUCGGGAGGAACACCAGUGGCGAAGGCGACUUCCUGGCCUGUUCUUGACGCUGAGGCACGAAAGCGUGGGGAGCAAACAGG